This 346-nucleotide ribosomal RNA is filed under the name uncultured prokaryote. Its description in RNAcentral is "bacterial SSU rRNA". It matches the Rfam family "Bacterial small subunit ribosomal RNA", at positions 26 to 352 of the family's 1533-position model. The record is from RNAcentral.
AGGACGAACGCUGGCGGCGUGCUUAACACAUGCAAGUCGAACGCUUUCCAUUCGGUAGCAAUACCGAUGAAGAAAGAGUGGCGAACGGGUGAGUACCACGUGAGCAACCUACCCCGAAGACUGGGACAACACCGGGAAACCGGUGCUAAUACCAGAUAUCCAUAACGGAGCGCAUGGUCUGAUAUGGAAAUGCCGUCUUCACAGACGUACGCUUCGGGAGGGGCUCGCGGCCUAUCAGCUAGUUGGUGAGGUAACGGCUCACCAAGGCUUCGACGGGUAGCUGGUCUGAGAGGACGAUCAGCCACACUGGGACUGAGACACGGCCCAGACUCCUACGGGAGGCAGC